AUGGCUGGCACAGGACCCCCGGGGCACGGCAGGUGCCCGUUGCCCGCUCCGCCAGCGGCUGCAUUCCCCAAAAGCACACCAUCCCAUCGUGUCUGCUGCCUCCUGACCCCCGGCCCUUAUCUCAUCCCACAUCACCUUCCUGCGUUUCCUGGCCUCUCCCUGCCCCGGGCCAUCCCUGGGUCUCCGGAGCGAGCCGUGGCCACGCCCGAGCUGGCGCGGGUUACCAGCAGCCGCGGGGCUGGGACCGCUCGCCGCCGGGCCCGGGCUUCGCGCUCGUCCUGGCCGCUGGGGCCUCGGAGAGCGGCGGCAGGAGCGAGGCAUCACCCGAGCGCUGACAGGCGCCUCUCCGCCUUCCCCGCCCGGCGCAUUCGCCUUGCCACGUGCAGAACCCGGCAGGCGCGGACCGCCAGCGCCCUCGCGGUUGCCGUGGCUACGCACGAGCGGCCGCAGCUGACCCAGGCGGGGCCUCCCUCCGCCGCCUCCGCCUCGGGCUCCGUCCCCGCUCGGUUAGGGAACCCCAAGCCCCCGGCCCCUACAAGCUGUGCACACCUGCAGCAGACCCGUUUCUGCAAAGCUUCUGAAGAAAAGAAAACAACUUCAAAGCGCUUGGAAAAGUUGUUGAAUAGGAAAGCUGGCUGUCCUGGAAAUCCCGGCUACUGCUCUGUAACACAAGGCACCUCACCUGUCUCUGCUCAGGCACACAGGUGCUGGGACAGGGAAGAAGAGGAGUUCCAGGCACAUGAGCUGGGAGUGCCAAAGAACAGACACACAGCUGGCACUGAAGGGAGGAGCCAGCUAACAUCUAAGACCAACAGCCCUUCAAACGGCCCUUCAGACUGUGCUGUGGAAGCCAGGGCAGCACCUCCAGACCAUUUAUCCCCACUUCCAAGUUCUGCAAGACAAGUUGUUGUGAUCGUCAAGUUCUGGAAGACUAACUGUCAUGGAUAG
Molecule: long non-coding RNA, 948 nt
Organism: Oryctolagus cuniculus (rabbit)
Lineage: Eukaryota; Metazoa; Chordata; Mammalia; Lagomorpha; Leporidae
Source: Ensembl